GAAAGCUGUUUUAAAGAGCACAAGAGAAUCUAAAACCAUUUCAUUAGGGUGACAUCAGAGACAAAAAAAUCCUAAGAAUUAUGUAGAGGACAUCAUUUCACUGACUGAGAUGCGCUUCAUGCAGUCAACCCACUUCACACAAGACUGAUUUUAUCACAUAUGGAAUAAGCAGACUUCACACUCAAAUACCAAGCUUUGCCAGAAAAAGAAACAAAGAAAAAAAUCACAGAGAAACUAAGAGAUGUGAUCAGAAGUGUCAGACAAGGUAGAAAAUGUCACAUCAGAUGAACAGCUUCAGGAAUCCGAUUAAGUUAUCCUUUCUUCAUUUCUAGCCCACUUAACAUGAUUUGAAGGUCAGUCUACACAAGGAGGGCACCAGCACACUUGUCUGUGCGUUCAUUCCCACUUUGAAUUCAAAUGCAGCAUUCAUCAAUGGCCCAGCCACUUUUUUUG
Long non-coding RNA from Orcinus orca (killer whale), 453 nucleotides. RefSeq lists it as uncharacterized. The record is from RefSeq and is a predicted model, not a curated record. The transcript is spliced from 3 exons. NCBI's taxonomy places the organism in Eukaryota, Metazoa, Chordata, Mammalia, Artiodactyla, Delphinidae.